AUUUGCAUCGUAACCUCUUUGGGGGCCGGGACUGUGCACUUGCUCCCUUUCUAUACCUCUCCACAGUUCCUAGUACCGGCCAAAAACACUGCUGAAAUGCCUAAUGAAUCAACCAGAAGUUCCUUAGCAUAAUAUAGGAGCGUGGAAGUGAUGUUUAGGGGGGCUUCCCUUGCUUCCCUGAUCCCCAGAUGGAGAGAAAUGGCAAUUUGCCCUUCCAAGGAGUCAGAUGGUGAAAGGGAGAGAUGUUCUUGCUGAGUUUGUUUAUGUUGUGCUUCAGAGGAUGUAAGACAAGCAGCAAAUCAGCAGAGACAAG
Homo sapiens (human) is the source of this 313-nucleotide long non-coding RNA. Ensembl annotates it as phosphoglycerate mutase 1 pseudogene 5. Its record names the gene PGAM1P5. The record is from Ensembl. Lineage: Eukaryota; Metazoa; Chordata; Mammalia; Primates; Hominidae.